Molecule: ribosomal RNA, 605 nt
Filed under: uncultured fungus
Lineage: Eukaryota; Fungi
Description: eukaryotic LSU rRNA
Rfam family: 5.8S ribosomal RNA (bases 245-398)
Source: RNAcentral
CUUGGUCAUUUAGAGGAAGUAAAAGUCGUAACAAGGUUUCCGUAGGUGAACCUGCGGAAGGAUCAUUACCGAGUUAGGGUCUUAUAGGCCCGACCUCCAACCCUUUGUUUACUAUACCAUGUUGCUUUGGCGGGCCCGCCUUUUGGGGCCGCCGGGGGCUUUCGUGCCCCUGGUCAGUGCCCGCCAGUAGCCUUAUUAAAUUCUUUCAUAAUUAUGUUGUCUGAGUAUAAAUAUAAAUCGUUAAAACUUUCAACAACGGAUCUCUCGGUUCUGGCAUCGAUGAAGAACGCAGCGAAAUGCGAUAAGUAAUGUGAAUUGCAGAAUUCAGUGAAUCAUCGAAUCUUUGAACGCACAUUGCGCCCUCUGGUAUUCCGGGGGGCAUGCCUGUUCGAGCGUCAUUACAACCCUCAAGCUCUGCUUGGUAUUGGAUGUCACCGGCUCCGGUGCACCUUAAAAUCAGUGGCGGUGCCAUUCGGCUUCAAGCGUAGUAAUUCUUCUCGCUUCGGAAAAGGUGACGCGCUGCCAACAACUCCUAAUUUUUCAAGGUUGACCUCGGAUCAGGUAGGGAUACCCGCUGAACUUAAGCAUAUCAAUAAGCGGAGGAA